UUCUAAUAAAAUGGGAAAAUGGGAAAGGAGGGAGGAGGGCGUUCUUUGAAAAUAGAAUAGACCAUUUAGCUUGAUUAGUUUUUUUAGAAAAAUAAUUUUCUCUGUCUAACCUGAUUUUCCUUUUUCAGCUAAGAGGAGGAGAAAUGAAAGAAAAAAUAAGGGAAAUGUGUUUUUCCUUAUAGUAACAGAAGAAAAGGGAGAAAAAUUAAAGAAAGGAAAAAGAAAGAAGGCAAGAUGAAAGCAGCGUGCUCCUCCAAACUUUGAUUUUAAUCACAUCUUUGGGACUCUGUGAGUUGGCAGAGGAUAUGACACAUAGAAAUACUCUGCUCUGAGUUCUUCCACUAGAGCUUCAGAAAAAGAUAAUCAGCUUUUGAUCUGCAUAGCUUCAAAUCAUAAACCUAAAUGAGAUUUUUUAGGCAUACAAAUAAACCAUGACCUCCUUUGUAACUAACCCCUUAA
RNAcentral lists this long non-coding RNA (459 nucleotides) under Anas platyrhynchos platyrhynchos (common mallard). Its description in RNAcentral is "lncRNA (ENSAPLG00000022043.1)". Lineage: Eukaryota; Metazoa; Chordata; Aves; Anseriformes; Anatidae. The record is from RNAcentral.